RNAcentral lists this ribosomal RNA (427 nucleotides) under uncultured bacterium. Its description in RNAcentral is "partial 16S ribosomal RNA". It matches the Rfam family "Bacterial small subunit ribosomal RNA", at positions 355 to 774 of the family's 1533-position model. The record is from RNAcentral.
UGGGGAAUAUUGCACAAUGGGCGCAAGCCUGAUGCAGCCAUGCCGCGUGUAUGAAGAAGGCCUUCGGGUUGUAAAGUACUUUCAGCGAGGAGGAAGGCGUUGUGGUUAAUAACCGCAGCGAUUGACGUUACUCGCAGAAGAAGCACCGGCUAACUCCGUGCCAGCAGCCGCGGUAAUACGGAGGGUGCAAGCGUUAAUCGGAAUUACUGGGCGUAAAGCGCACGCAGGCGGUCUGUCAAGUCGGAUGUGAAAUCCCCGGGCUCAACCUGGGAACUGCAUCCGAAACUGGCAGGCUAGAGUCUUGUAGAGGGGGGUAGAAUUCCAGGUGGAGCGGUGAAAUGCGUAGAGAUCUGGAGGAAUACCGGUGGCGAAGGCGGCCCCCUGGACAAAGACUGACGCUCAGGUGCGAAAGCGUGGGGAGCAAACA